GAUGAACGCUGGCGGCGUGCCUAAUACAUGCAAGUCGAGCGAACGGACGAGAAGCUUGCUUUUCUGAUGUUAGCGGCCGACGGGUGAGUAACACGUGGUUAACCUACCUAUAAGACUGGGAUAACUUCGGGAAACCGGAGCUAAUACCGGAUAAUAUUUUGAACCGCAUGGUUCAAACGUGAAAGACGGUCUUGCUGUCACUUAUAGAUGGAUCCGCGCUUCAUUAGUUAGUUGGUAAGGUAACGGGUUACCAAGGCAACGAUGCAUAGCCGACCUGAGAGGGUCAAUGCCUAGCCUGUAACUGAGAAUGGUCACAGACUCCGACGGUGGGACGCAGCAGGGAAUCUUACGCGAUGCGCGAGAGCCGGACAGAGCAACGUCGCCGAAGUCAUGAAGGUCUAAGGAUCGUAGAGCGCUGUUAGUAUGGGGGUACAAAUGUGUAUUUAACCGGGCACAUAUUGACGGUACCGAAAGAGAAAGCCACGGCUAACUACGUG
This 497-nucleotide ribosomal RNA is filed under the name uncultured bacterium. RNAcentral describes it as "partial 16S ribosomal RNA". It matches the Rfam family "Bacterial small subunit ribosomal RNA", at positions 28 to 507 of the family's 1533-position model. The record is from RNAcentral.